GCCUCUUUAGCUCAUUAGUUAGAGCGUUGCAUUUGUAUACCAAAGUACACAUGCAUGCAAAGGUCGUUCGUUCAAAUCGGAUAAGGGAUA
Molecule: non-coding RNA, 90 nt
Organism: Rhodocollybia butyracea
Lineage: Eukaryota; Fungi; Basidiomycota; Agaricomycetes; Agaricales; Omphalotaceae
Source: the annotation of a GenBank genome assembly